Molecule: non-coding RNA, 30 nt
Filed under: Rattus norvegicus (Norway rat)
Lineage: Eukaryota; Metazoa; Chordata; Mammalia; Rodentia; Muridae
Source: RNAcentral
UGAAAUUUGGAGGCUCUGGUGAUAUUAUUU